AUUUCAAUACUUCUAUGCGGUAAUACAAUUCAAUUAAAUCGAAAGAAGAAAACCCCCUGAUUUUAAUGCCACGUAUGCAUUGGAAAGUUUCUGUCUAGGUUUCGUAAAACGCAUUUUUUCAUCAGUGGUUGACGUGAUCUAAAUCAUUGUGCAAACAUGCGUACUGGCCAUGCAUUAGCCUGCUUGAUACACUGCUUCAUAUUCUCGCUACCAACUUUAUAUAAACUGAUACAUAAACUAGAACAUAACGGGAGAGCGAACUACAACAAGGAAGGAAUGUUUUACAUCAUCAGCGUUAGUCUGUCGAUAAUCGAGGCUUCAGGCGUGUUUGGCGGUUUUCCUGUAUAUGACUUUUCUGGAUUUGAUGACAAAAUACCCAAUCUCAUUAUAACCGAGGUUGUUUUGUGUGUUCCAACAGCCGCUCAUAUUUUGUAUAUUCUAUGUGGUGAUUAUUAUCCGACAUGGUGUGAGCAAGUCGGUUACGAGUGCGCCAAACAUGUCAUGAUGGUAAUUUUGAAUAGGAUAUUACACGCUGCUAUAGGUUCUAUAAGACUGGCAUGAACAAUAUUUGGUCGGAGUUUCAGUGACCUAGAUAUUCUCUAAACCUUUAACAUGAAGAACUGUUAAAUUUACCGUAUUAUCCUGAAUAAAAGAUGAAAAAACA
Molecule: long non-coding RNA, 664 nt
Organism: Mya arenaria
Lineage: Eukaryota; Metazoa; Mollusca; Bivalvia; Myida; Myidae
Exons: 2
Source: RefSeq, a predicted model, not a curated record